UACGGGGGGGGCAAGCGUUGUUCGGAAUUACUGGGCGUAAAGGGCUCGUAGGCGGCCAACUAAGUCAGACGUGAAAUCCCUCGGCUUAACCGGGGAACUGCGUCUGAUACUGGAUGGCUUGAAUCCGGGAGAGGGAUGCGGAAUUCCAGGUGUAGCGGUGAAAUGCGUAGAUAUCGGGAGGAACACCAGUGGCGAAGGCGGUUGCCUGGAGCUUUGCUGACGCUGAUGCGCGAAAGCGUGGGGAGCGAGCCGG
Molecule: ribosomal RNA, 253 nt
Filed under: uncultured bacterium
Lineage: Bacteria
Description: partial 16S ribosomal RNA
Rfam family: Bacterial small subunit ribosomal RNA
Source: RNAcentral